This 497-nucleotide ribosomal RNA is filed under the name uncultured bacterium. Its description in RNAcentral is "partial 16S ribosomal RNA". It matches the Rfam family "Bacterial small subunit ribosomal RNA", at positions 28 to 507 of the family's 1533-position model. The record is from RNAcentral.
GAUGAACGCUGGCGGCGUGCCUAAUACAUGCAAGUCGAGCGAACAGACGAGGAGCUUGCUCCUCUGACGUUAGCGGCGGACGGGUGAGUAACACGUGGAUAACCUACCUAUAAGACUGGGAUAACUUCGGGAAACCGGAGCUAAUACCGGAUAAUAUAUUGAACCGCAUGGUUCAAUAGUGAAAGACGGUUUUGCUGUCACUUAUAGAUGGAUCCGCGCCGCAUUAGCUAGUUGGUAAGGUAACGGCUUACCAAGGCGACGAUGCGUAGCCGACCUGAGAGGGUGGUAGGCCACCCUGGAACUUGGACACGGACCAGACUCCUACGGGAGGCAGCAGUAGGGAAUCUUCCGCAAUGGGCGAAAGCCUGACGGAGCAACGCCGCGUGAGUGAUGAAGGUCUUCGGAUCGUAAAGCUCUGUUAUUAGGGAAGAACAAAUGUGUAAGUAACUAUGCACGUCUUGACGGUACCUAAUCAGAAAGCCACGGCUAACUACGUG